AGCGCAGGCGGGAUAGCAAGUUGGAUGUGAAAUACCGGGGCUCAACCCCGGAGCUGCAUCCAAAACUGUUAUUCUUGAGUGAAGUAGAGGUUGGCGGAAUUCCGAGUGUAACGGUGAAAUGCGUAGAUAUUCGGAGGAACACCAGUGGCGAAGGCGGCCAACUGGGCUUUAACUGACGCUGAGGCUCGAAAGCAUGGGGAGCAAACA
RNAcentral lists this ribosomal RNA (207 nucleotides) under uncultured bacterium. RNAcentral describes it as "partial 16S ribosomal RNA". It matches the Rfam family "Bacterial small subunit ribosomal RNA", at positions 568 to 774 of the family's 1533-position model. The record is from RNAcentral.